RNAcentral lists this ribosomal RNA (441 nucleotides) under uncultured bacterium. Its description in RNAcentral is "partial 16S ribosomal RNA". It matches the Rfam family "Bacterial small subunit ribosomal RNA", at positions 338 to 795 of the family's 1533-position model. The record is from RNAcentral.
CCUACGGGGUGCAGCAGUGGGGGAUAUUGCACAAUGGGGGGAACCCUGAUGCAGCGACGCCGCGUGGGUGAAGGAGCGUUUCGGCGCGUAAAGCCCUAUCGGCAGGGAAGAAGCAAGACGGUACCUGACUAAGAAGCCCCGGCUAACUACGUGCCAGCAGCCGCGGUAAUACGGAGGGGGCGAGCGUUAUCCGGAUUCACGGGGUGUAAAGGGAGCGUAGACGGCCAUGCAAGCCAGGGGUGAAAGCCCGGGGCCCAACCCCGGGAGUGCCGUUGAAACUGCAUGGCUGGAGUGCGGGAGGGGCAGGCGGAAUUCCUGGUGUAGCGGUGAAAUGCGUAGAUAUCAGGAGGAACGCCGGCGGCGAAGGCGGCCUGCUGGACCGCGACUGACGUUGAGGCUCGAAAGCGUGGGGAGCGAACAGGAUUAGAUACCCGGGUAGUC